AGAGAGAGACAUGCGCCAUAUCAAUAAGCGGAGGAAAAGAAACUAACAAGGGAUUCCCCUAGUAACGGCGAGUGAAGCGGGAAGAGCUCAAAUUUGAAAUCUUAAAGGGUUUCCCUUUACGAAUUGUAGUUUAAAGAAGUGUUUUCUGUUGAGGUUUUGGUAAAAGUUCUUUGGAAUAGGACAUCAUAGAGGGUGAGAAUCCCGUAUUUGACCUUUACUUUCAACUUUGUGAUACACUUUCAAAGAGUCGGAUUGUUUGGGAAUGCAGUCCAAAAUGGGUGGUAAAUUUCAUCUAAAGCUAAAUAUUGGCGAGAGACCGAUAGCGAACAAGUACCGUGAGGGAAAGAUGAAAAGAACUUUGAAAAGAGAGUUAAACAGUACGUGAAAUUGUCAAAAGGGAAGCGUUUGACACCAGUGUUGUUUUUCUGAAAAUCAAUUAAAGAACUGUUUAUGCUAAGCUGUUUAGGACUUUAUCAGCUAUCUGUUUAGUUUUGAGCUUUUCUUUAAUGCACUUUUCAGUUAACAAGUCAACAUCAAUUUCUUUUGCUGUAAAAAAGCUUGAGGAAGGUGGCUUGAGACUCGUCUUAAGUGUUUAUAGCCUCUCGCCUAUGCAGUCGGAGAGAUUGAGGUCUGCAGCGUAGAUCCUUCGGGGCUAAAUGCAUUUGUGCUAAGUUAUAGCGUUUUAUAGACAACUUGUUGACUAUGAUUUGUCUUGUAGCUUACUCGCUUAUGUUAUUUUACCUACGCUUAGGAUGUUGACGCAUGAGAUAUACGC
This 775-nucleotide ribosomal RNA is filed under the name uncultured Neocallimastigales. RNAcentral describes it as "partial large subunit ribosomal RNA". It matches the Rfam family "Eukaryotic large subunit ribosomal RNA", at positions 37 to 647 of the family's 3401-position model. Lineage: Eukaryota; Fungi; Neocallimastigomycota; Neocallimastigomycetes; Neocallimastigales. The record is from RNAcentral.